RNAcentral lists this ribosomal RNA (292 nucleotides) under uncultured bacterium. RNAcentral describes it as "partial 16S ribosomal RNA". It matches the Rfam family "Bacterial small subunit ribosomal RNA", at positions 505 to 796 of the family's 1533-position model. The record is from RNAcentral.
GUGCCAGCCGCCGCGGUAAAACGUAGGAGGCAAGCGUUAUCCGGAGUUACUGGGCGUAAAGGGCGUGCAGGUGGUUCAAUAAGUUGGUUAUGAAAGCUCCUGGCUAAACUGGGAGAGGUUGACCAAGACUGUUGAACUUGAGUGGAUGAGAGGUAAACGGAAUUCCGCGUGUAGUGGUGAAAUGCGUAGAGAUGCGGAGGAACACCAGUGGCGAAGGCGGUUUACUGGCAUCCAACUGACACUGAGACGCGAAAGCAUGGGUAGCGAACGGGAUUAGAAACCCCCGUAGUCC